GUGAGGCGCUACAGACGCGCAACGCUGAGAGCUGCUCCUUGGGAGAAACCGUGGGAGUGACAGGUAGUCUGAAGUGAGGCAAAGGGACACCGUGGCUCUCGGGUGUAUCCCAGACUGUGACGGGCUGCCGGACCAGUUUCGAGAAGGAUCUGCUGUCAGCCUCCAGCCCUGCGAUCCCUAUGUGCUAACUGUUCACGGAAUGAUCCUGUGGUUUUGGAGGAAUCAGGCUCGAGGGAGGCAGAGAAAAGGAGCCAGGCGGAAUGGUUCCAAUAGAACUAUUUUUCAAGCCAGCGAUAUUUACAGAGACAAGACGAGGCUGCUCCGUGGAGCCUAGGACGAUUUCAGCUGUUAAGGUAAUGAAGACAAUUGAAGAACAAAGCG
RNAcentral lists this long non-coding RNA (381 nucleotides) under Equus caballus (horse). Its description in RNAcentral is "lncRNA (ENSECAG00000053917.1)". Lineage: Eukaryota; Metazoa; Chordata; Mammalia; Perissodactyla; Equidae. The record is from RNAcentral.